Molecule: unclassified non-coding RNA, 457 nt
Filed under: Hevea brasiliensis (rubber tree)
Lineage: Eukaryota; Viridiplantae; Streptophyta; Magnoliopsida; Malpighiales; Euphorbiaceae
Source: RNAcentral
UUUUUUUUUUGGUCUCCUCAAGUUAUGGAGAAAAAGUGAAAGACUUGCUUCUUCUCUUCAAAUUGUGAUUUAUCUUAUGUUCUGUUUCUAACAGGGCAGCUAAGCUGGGAAUGAAGUUGGAAUGGUCGGAAGAUGGAGUGAAAACAAUAAUGGGUCCUAUACCGGCCGUCAAAUACGACAAGUCCAGAAAUCGCAAGAUUUGGUUCAAUAGCAUGGUGGCUGCCUACACAGGCUGGGAAGAUGCCAGAAAUGAUCCUAAGAAGGCUGUGACAUUUGGGGAUGGGAAACCAUUACCAGGUGAUAUCAUCUAUGACUGCUUGAAAAUUCUCGAAGAUGAAAGUGUUGCCAUUCCUUGGCAGAAAGGUGAUUUUCUGUUGAUAGAUAACUGGGCUGUUCUUCAUGCCCGCAAAUCUUUCAAUCCGCCCCGUCGAGUGCUGGCUUCGCUUUGCAAGUAGUC